RNAcentral lists this transfer RNA (89 nucleotides) under Pelagibacteraceae bacterium TMED247. RNAcentral describes it as "tRNA-Asn". It matches the Rfam family "tRNA". From Rfam's summary of the family: Transfer RNA (tRNA) molecules are approximately 80 nucleotides in length. Their secondary structure includes four short double-helical elements and three loops (D, anti-codon, and T loops). The record is from RNAcentral. Lineage: Bacteria; Pseudomonadati; Pseudomonadota; Alphaproteobacteria; Candidatus Pelagibacterales; Candidatus Pelagibacteraceae.
UGAGGGGUGGCGGAAUUGGCAGACGCACCUGACUGUUUCUCAGGUGGUGAUAACUCACCUUGGAGGUUCGAACCCUUCCCCUUCAGCCA